UUUGGGCAAAUUUGAGACAGUUAAUAUGGAUCAGAGGGAGUAGAAACAAAUCCGAUAUUGCAGCACGAGCAACUAGGUUUAAUAUGACUAGCUAGAAACUGCAUCACCGAAGAGGCACACAGCUUACCAAAAGGUGAUGACCAGUAAUUGGUAUGAGAGGAUGAUCGGGCACGCUAGGACCCAGACACAACCUAGACUCCUACGGGAGGCAGCAAUGUGGAAUUUUUCUCAAUGUGCGAAAGCCUGACGGGGCAAUGCCAAGUGGAGGUGGAAGGCCUGUGGGUCAGUGAACUUUUUUUCUCGGAGAAGAAACGAUGAUGAUAUUUGAGGGAUAUGUGAUUUUCCGGAGAAAAAAAAUCAA
RNAcentral lists this non-coding RNA (361 nucleotides) under Brachypodium distachyon (stiff brome). RNAcentral's name for it is "Bacterial small subunit ribosomal RNA". It matches the Rfam family "Bacterial small subunit ribosomal RNA", at positions 157 to 496 of the family's 1533-position model. Lineage: Eukaryota; Viridiplantae; Streptophyta; Magnoliopsida; Poales; Poaceae. The record is from Rfam by way of RNAcentral.